CUCCUCCGCCUGGUCGCGUUCUUCACUAUUUCUUUCAUUAUUCUCAUUCAAAUUCGAUUCUAGGGUUUACAAAUUCUCAAUUGAUUUAGGGAUUUUGUUGAUUUACUACUACCUUGCAUGAUUCUAAUUUCUAUUCUAGUCGCAUGUUUGAUUGUAAUUUCAAUUCUAGCUGCAUGCAUUAUUCAGGGUUUUCCAAUUUUGAUUAUAGGUUUGCUAAUUACGAUUAUGAGUUUUAUAAUUUUGAUUCUAGGGUUUUCGAAUACCCAUGUCAUUUUUUUUUGUUCUAUUGUAAGCGCAUUCAAUGGCAUUUAUAUUCCAAAGGCUUUUCCGGCGUGAUAAUCACAUGUGCCUGUCCUUAUCUGCCGUGAUACCACUAUAUUCGUUUUUUUGUCGUUUCCGUCGCAUUUGUCAUUGUAAGCAACUUCUUUCAUCAUCAAUUUCAAAAUUGAACAUCUUUGUGUGUUUUUUUUUCUUGAUGUUCUUAUUGGCUGGUGUCUAGUCUGGAUUUCAUUAAACUAUUUCUAUUUGUAUGAUUUUUUAAAGGAUUUUCUCCAAUUCCAUAUGACUCAUAGUCUAUUUUCUUCUUAAUCAUGAUUUUAAUUUGAAAAUGCUUCUGAAUAUGCAAUUGUCAAGAAUGUAGCUUGAGUUAUAGACUUUAAGCCCCAUGUUUCAUAAGUCUUAUGAACUGGGUAUAAUAUAUUGUUGUUGUUUGGUCAAAGAUUCUCAUAUGUUUCUUUACAACUGAAUGAACAGAUUUUAAAAGACAAUGAGUUAAAUUUUGUCAUCAGUGAGUUAUCAUCAACUGAUUGAACAGAUUCUCAAAUGUUUCUUUACAAAGUUGUCAUCACUGUGAGUUAAUUCUGUAACUAGACAAUGUAUCUAGCUAUCUGUUUGUAAUAGAAUUUUACUUUCUUGUUCAUAAUUUUGGUCUGGGUUAAAUUUUCUUGUUUGAUCUGGGUUAUGUUUUUAAAUCAAAUCUGAUCUCCAGGUACACUCGGUGUUGAGUUCGCUACCAAGACACUCUAAGUCAAAGCAAAAGUCCUACUGCUGGUCAAGAGAGAUGUGCUUUACUGGCUUUCUAGCCUCACGUGCACAGACGAGAAUUACAUCAUCAAAUCCAAGGCUCAACGUGCUGCUUCUACCUAAUUCUUAGCACCAUCUCCACCACUACAUCUCUUCCACUGAGAAUUUUGAUGUUGUCGAUUCUUUGGACUUCGUAAUGUCUGAUGAAAUGGCUGAUGCAAGAGCGGAUCGUCUUAAAAAGAUGAUCACUGAGGGAGUGGAUUGGAGUCACCAUCUAUGGGAGGUAGAAGAAGCAAUACCUGUAUGCAACUCUUGACAAAGAUGAGAAAGCAACAGAUGAAGAGAAUGAGAAUAUAGCAGAAGAAAGCGAAUUGAGGACACCAACUGCUGUAGGUAGCUUGAUUGCGGGUUCGAGUCGAGGAAAGAAAAGGGUCGCUGAUCCUGGUGCAGAGUCACACAAGCAGAAGUUGAAAUGUGACCGAUCAGCUACGAAAGCCAUUGAUGAGGACUUGAACUCAUUUAUUCAAGGAUUUUUGCAGACCUCGUUCAAAGCUUUGGAGGAGAGACUUGAUAGCAAGAUUGAUAGUCGUGUGGAGAUGCUGGAGAAGAAAAUGGAAAACCGAGUGGAGAUGCUUGAGAAGAAGAUUAUGGAGUCCUCCAAACAACUGGAUUUACAAGUGAUACUCCUACCACAUCAAAAUCACCACAUGGUGUCAACGCUUUAGCUGCUAAGACGUUGACCAGUGCUGCUAAAAAAAACUUCUACUGCAUCAACAAUUGCUACUCCAAAGCCAUAACGAGAUCUGCAUGUGCUAUUCCAAGCAAGGGAGAUUCCAAUACCUGAUGCACAAGAAUCAGAAAUAAUGUCUUUGUUUAGGCUGUGAUGUGGUUUGUUUAAUAUUUGUAUAACGUUGUUGUUAAAAUGUAAUUUGUGUGUCUGGUAAUAUUGUUGUUAAAAUGUAAUAUGUGUAUCUAGAUAAUAUGCUUGAAACAUGUACUAUUUUUUUUGUCUUGUACUUGUAAUUUGGUUUUGUUAAAAC
Molecule: long non-coding RNA, 2063 nt
Organism: Eutrema salsugineum
Lineage: Eukaryota; Viridiplantae; Streptophyta; Magnoliopsida; Brassicales; Brassicaceae
Exons: 4
Source: RefSeq, a predicted model, not a curated record